Penaeus chinensis is the source of this 402-nucleotide long non-coding RNA. RefSeq lists it as uncharacterized. The record is from RefSeq and is a predicted model, not a curated record. Lineage: Eukaryota; Metazoa; Arthropoda; Malacostraca; Decapoda; Penaeidae. The transcript has 4 exons.
CCGACGUUCAAGACGAAUGCGCACAGGCGUUACGGUUCUUCAUUAAGGAUUUAUCUCUGGAAGACUGAAAGCAAGGCAUUAAGCGAUGUAGAGGACUGUGACGUGAAUGACCCCCUGCCUCUGAUGUCUGAGGUUUUUGUCACCAUUUGGGGGUUACCAUACUUUCAUUUUUUAAAAGUCUGCCUCCCUUUUUGGUUGACCUGCAGUGAUUAAAGCAAAAUGCGCACGGGACUUAGGGGUUCUUUUAGAAGUGGAAGAACCACUCAUAGUUUCAUGGUCACAGCCAAACCAGGACUUGACAUGACCCUGGAAUUAAUACAGCUCAUUGCAGAGGAAACCAACUAGUUUAAGGAGAUAGAAGGGGGCCAUUGGAAGACAUAAUUGAAAGUAAGUACCUUGUUU